UCGAUGCAACGCGAAAAACCUUACCUACCCUUGACAUGUCUGGAAUCCUGAAGAGAUUUGGGAGUGCUCGAAAGAGAGCCAGAACACAGGUGCUGCAUGGCCGUCGUCAGCUCGUGUCGUGAGAUGUUGGGUUAAGUCCCGCAACGAGCGCAACCCUUGUCAUUAGUUGCUACGAAAGGGCACUCUAAUGAGACUGCCGGUGACAAACCGGAGGAAGGUGGGGAUGACGUCAGGUCAUCAUGGCCCUUAUGGGUAGGGCUACACACGUCAUACAAUGGCCGGGACAGAGGGCUGCCAACCCGCGAGGGGGAGCUAAUCCCAGAAACCCGGUCGUAGUCCGGAUCGUAGUCUGCAACUCGACUGCGUGAAGUCGGAAUCGCUAGUAAUCGCGGAUCAGCUUGCCGCGGUGAAUACGUUCCCGGGUCUUGUACACACCGCCCGUCACACCAUGGGAG
RNAcentral lists this ribosomal RNA (455 nucleotides) under uncultured Roseateles sp. RNAcentral describes it as "bacterial SSU rRNA". It matches the Rfam family "Bacterial small subunit ribosomal RNA", at positions 951 to 1410 of the family's 1533-position model. The record is from RNAcentral. Lineage: Bacteria; Pseudomonadati; Pseudomonadota; Betaproteobacteria; Burkholderiales; Sphaerotilaceae.